RNAcentral lists this ribosomal RNA (224 nucleotides) under uncultured bacterium. Its description in RNAcentral is "partial 16S ribosomal RNA". It matches the Rfam family "Bacterial small subunit ribosomal RNA", at positions 107 to 334 of the family's 1533-position model. The record is from RNAcentral.
UGAGUAAUACAUCGGAACGUGUCUUCUAGUGGGGGAUAACUGCCCGAAAGGGCAGCUAAUACCGCAUGAGACCUGAGGGUGAAAGCGGGGGAUCGCAAGACCUCGCGCUGGAAGAGCGGCCGAUGUCCGAUUAGCUAGUUGGUGAGGUAAUGGCCCACCAAGGCGACGAUCGGUAGCCGGACUGAGAGGUUGAACGGCCACAUUGGGACUGAGACACGGCCCAG